GAUGAACGCUGGCGGCGUGCCUAAUACAUGCAAGUCGAGCGAACGGACGAGAAGCUUGCUUCUCUGAUGUUAGCGGCGGACGGGUGAGUAACACGUGGAUAACCUACCUAUAAGACUGGGAUAACUUCGGGAAACCGGAGCUAAUACCGGAUAAUAUUUUGAACCGCAUGGUUCAAAAGUGAAAGACGGUCUUGCUGUCACCUAUAGAUGGAUCCGCGCUGCAUUAGCUAGUUGGUAAGGUAACGGCUUACCAAGGCAACGAUGCAUAGCCGUCCUGAGAGGGUGAUCGGCCACACUGGAACUGAGACACGGUCCAGACUCCUACGGGAGGCAGCAGUAGGGAAUCUUCCGCAAAGGGCGAAAGCCUGACGGAGCAACGCCGCGUGAGUGAUGAAGGUCUUCGGAUCGUAAAACUCUGUUAUUAGGGAAGAACAUAUGUGUAAGUAACUGUGCACAUCUUGACGGUACCUAAUCAGAAAGCCACGGCUAACUACGUG
RNAcentral lists this ribosomal RNA (497 nucleotides) under uncultured bacterium. Its description in RNAcentral is "partial 16S ribosomal RNA". It matches the Rfam family "Bacterial small subunit ribosomal RNA", at positions 28 to 507 of the family's 1533-position model. The record is from RNAcentral.